Molecule: ribosomal RNA, 300 nt
Filed under: Triticum aestivum (bread wheat)
Lineage: Eukaryota; Viridiplantae; Streptophyta; Magnoliopsida; Poales; Poaceae
Description: partial small subunit ribosomal RNA
Source: RNAcentral
AUGGCCGGCACCAUCCUCGGCAGCGGCCACGGCUUCUACGUCAUGCACCGCAUCGAGACCUCCUACAAGGCAAGGGUGGAGGAGAGGCUGUGUCGAUGGCAAGCUGGAGUGCCUCUACCAUGGCUGGCAGUUCGAUGGCCAGGGCAAGUUAAUGGAGCAAUGAUGUGGUGGUAUAACAUAUCUGCGGCGGUUCUUCAAGCAGCUCUGCCAGUGGAGGAUCGCGUCCAGGGUAGAGGGAUCACAAGGACUGACAGGGAAUGUGCCAACUUCCUUUGGCAAAAUCUUGCUACCUUGCCAUAG